Molecule: transfer RNA, 85 nt
Filed under: Candidatus Woesebacteria bacterium RBG_16_40_11
Lineage: Bacteria; Candidatus Woeseibacteriota
Also listed under: 3 other names
Description: tRNA-Leu
Rfam family: tRNA
About the family: Transfer RNA (tRNA) molecules are approximately 80 nucleotides in length. Their secondary structure includes four short double-helical elements and three loops (D, anti-codon, and T loops).
Source: RNAcentral
GCGGGGAUGGCGAAAUUGGCAGACGCGCAGUCUUGAGGAGGCUGUGGAGUAAUCCGUGGAGGUUCAAGUCCUCUUCCCCGCACUA